This 465-nucleotide ribosomal RNA is filed under the name uncultured bacterium. RNAcentral's name for it is "bacterial SSU rRNA". It matches the Rfam family "Bacterial small subunit ribosomal RNA", at positions 29 to 507 of the family's 1533-position model. The record is from RNAcentral.
AAUGAACGCUGGCGGCGUGCGUAACACAUGCAAGUCGAACGUGAAAGUCCCCUUCGGGGGAUGAGUAAAGUGGCAAACGGGUGAGUAACACGUGGGUAACCUGCCCUCUGGUGGGGGAUAACCCUGCGAAAGCGGGGCUAAUACCGCAUAACAAGUCGCUAAAUAAUUAGUCGACUUCAAAGCCUUCGGGCGCUAGAGGAGGGGCCCGCGUCCCAUUAGCUAGUUGGUAGGGUAACGGCCUACCAAGGCUGCGAUGGGUAGCCGGCCUGAGAGGGUGUCCGGCCACACUGGAACUGAGACACGGUCCAGACUCCUACGGGAGGCAGCAGUGGGGAAUUUUGCGCAAUGGGCGAAAGCCUGACGCAGCGACGCCGCGUGGGUGAUGAAGUUCUUCGGAACGUAAAGCCCUGUCAGGAGGGACGAAGCUCUGACGGUACCUCCAAAGGAAGCCCGGCUAACUCCGUG